UGGACAGAUUAUUGUAUUCGACUUUAUUCACUGCGUGAAACAGGGGAUUACACUGUUUUUAAAUGGAAAGUGAAUCAAUUAACAUAAUAGACUUCU
RNAcentral lists this microRNA precursor (96 nucleotides) under Nicotiana sylvestris (wood tobacco). RNAcentral describes it as "MIR6152 microRNA precursor family". It matches the Rfam family "MIR6152 microRNA precursor family". Lineage: Eukaryota; Viridiplantae; Streptophyta; Magnoliopsida; Solanales; Solanaceae. The record is from Rfam by way of RNAcentral.